This 630-nucleotide ribosomal RNA is filed under the name Perkinsus marinus. Its description in RNAcentral is "eukaryotic LSU rRNA". The record is from RNAcentral. Lineage: Eukaryota; Perkinsozoa; Perkinsida; Perkinsidae.
UCCGCUUUUGUUUUGAUCCCCCCACCUUAACUUGUUAAGGUGAUUAAUUCCUAUGAACCAUUGUACUAGUCAUAGUAUCCAAAUCCAAUUUUGGAUUUUGGUAUUUCAAAACGAAAUUCCAAACUCUCAACGAUGGAUGCCUCGGCUCGAGAAUCGAUGAAGGACGCAGCGAAGUGCGAUAAGCACUGCGAUUUGCAGAAUUCCGUGAACCAGUAGAAAUCUCAACGCAUACUGCACAAAGGGGAUCUUUCCUCUUUGUACAUACAUAUCAGUGUCGCUCUUCUUCCCGAUACAAACAUUUUGUUGUUAACGCAACUCAAUGCUUUGUAUCCCGCUUGAACUAACUCUUCGGAGGUGGUUCGUUAUGUGCGCUUGUGAAGGCAGGCGUAUUAAUUUGCAAGGCUAUAAUCUCGUAUUGUAGCCCCUCCGAAAGGAGGCUUGCGCCUGUGAGUAUCUCUMGAGGUACUCGCAAACUCGACUGUGUUGUGGUGAUAUCACGUGUUCCUUGAUCACGCGAUUCUUCUCUUCAACGCAUUACGUCAAAUCUAUUGAUAAAUGCAGAGAAGUGUUUGAAUCACGCGUUCAGUCUGGUCGCGAGAUUAUUAUAUAUCAUAACACGCUUGUCGGUUU